CCUACGGGUGGCAGCAGUGAGGAAUAUUGGUCAAUGGGCGAGAGCCUGAACCAGCCAAGUCGCGUGAGGGAGUACUGCCCUAUGGGUUGUAAACCUCUUUUGUCGGGGAGCAAAAGCCGGACGUGUCCGGCUGUGAGAGUACCCGAAGAAAAAGCAUCGGCUAACUCCGUGCCAGCAGCCGCGGUAAUACGGAGGAUGCGAGCGUUAUCCGGAUUUAUUGGGUUUAAAGGGUGCGCAGGCGGAGGCACAAGUCAGCGGUAAAAUCGCGGGGCUCAACCCCGCUCCGCCGUUGAAACUGUGUCCCGUGAGUGCGCGAAGGGUAGGCGGAAUGCGUGGUGUAGCGGUGAAAUGCAUAGAUAUCACACAGAACACCGAUUGCGAAGGCAUCUCACGAAUCCGCGAUUGACGCUGAUGCACGAAAGCGUGGGUAUCAAACAGGAUUAGAUACCCUUGUAGUC
RNAcentral lists this ribosomal RNA (458 nucleotides) under uncultured bacterium. RNAcentral describes it as "partial 16S ribosomal RNA". It matches the Rfam family "Bacterial small subunit ribosomal RNA", at positions 338 to 795 of the family's 1533-position model. The record is from RNAcentral.